Molecule: long non-coding RNA, 399 nt
Organism: Etheostoma cragini (Arkansas darter)
Lineage: Eukaryota; Metazoa; Chordata; Actinopteri; Perciformes; Percidae
Exons: 3
Source: RefSeq, a predicted model, not a curated record
UGUGUGUGUGUGUGUGUGUGUGUGUGUGUGUGUGUGUGUGUGUGUUCCAGGUGUAUAGAUACCUGCCUGGCUUUGAUUGGUUCUUCCUGGACGCCAUCACAGCCAACAACAUCCGCUUCGCCAGCGAUGAGAAUGUGAACCACAUCUCCUGUCCCGUGUUGAUCCUCCACGCCGAGGACGACGCCGUUGUCCCCUUCCAUCUCGGUAAAAAGCUCUACCACCUGGCGUCCCAGUCCAAGAGUCUCAGUGGACACAAGGUCCAGUUUGUCCCCUUCUCGUCGUCUCUGGCCUACAAACACAAGUUCAUCUACAGGAGCCCGGAGCUGCCCAACAUCCUCAGGUACCCCCCAACAUCCUCAGGUACCCCCCAACAUCCUCAGGUACCCCCCAACACCCUCA